GAUGAACGCUGGCGGCGUGCCUAAUACAUGCAAGUCGAGCGAACAGACGAGGAGCUUGCUCCUCUGACGUUAGCGGCGGACGGGUGAGUAACACGUGGAUAACCUACCUAUAAGACUGGGAUAACUUCGGGAAACCGGAGCUAAUACCGGAUAAUAUAUUGAACCACAUGGUUCAAUAGUGAAAGACGGUUUUGCUGUCACUUAUAGAUGGAUCCGCGCCGCAUUAGCUAGUUGGUAAGGUAUCGGCUUACCAAGGCGACGAUGCGUAGCCGACCUGAGAGGGUGAUCGGCCACACUGGAACUGAGACACGGUCCAGACUCCUACGGGAGGCAGCAGUAGGGAAUCUUCCGCAAUGGGCGAAAGCCUGACGGAGCAACGCCGCGUGAGUGAUGAAGGUCUUCGGAUCGUAAAACUCUGUUAUUAGGGAAGAACAAAUGUGUAAGUAACUAUGCACGUCUUGACGGUACCUAAUCAGAAAGCCACGGCUAACUACGUG
RNAcentral lists this ribosomal RNA (497 nucleotides) under uncultured bacterium. Its description in RNAcentral is "partial 16S ribosomal RNA". It matches the Rfam family "Bacterial small subunit ribosomal RNA", at positions 28 to 507 of the family's 1533-position model. The record is from RNAcentral.